Long non-coding RNA from Aegilops tauschii subsp. strangulata, 829 nucleotides. RefSeq lists it as uncharacterized. Lineage: Eukaryota; Viridiplantae; Streptophyta; Magnoliopsida; Poales; Poaceae. The record is from RefSeq and is a predicted model, not a curated record.
UCCUAAUUCUGAAGCCGACUGGAUGUAUUCAAAGAAAUUUAUGAUGUCAAAGUGUGCUCGAAAGCGUCUUAGUUGCUAUGUCCGUUCUGUUAAGCCUGCUAUUAGGCACUAUGUGUGUGAGAUGAACAAGACUUUUACCAAAGCUGGGCAGAGAAUGUACUUCUCUACUUUGUUCACUGAGAAGCACCUGAUGAAGUUUCUCUCCAGUCCGGUCGAUCGAAUGUGGAUUAAGCUUUCUUCUAGGCGUUGUUUAACCUAUGUUCGACUGAUGAAAGGGGUUGACAAGAGGGCUGCUAUAACACAUAACUGGAGCCGCUUUGCGGAAAGAGCGAAGCUGAAAGAAGGGGAAAUCUGUGUCUUUUCUCUCCGACAUUGCAAGGGGGUGCCAGUGCUCACUGUGCACAAAAUCUGAAGAGGUUUCUGUGAUGCAGUUUGGAAGGAGGAAGAUGGGAAGGUGUUCUGCAAGGACAUGUAGAUAUGUUCUCUAGUAUGAUGGUAUGCCUAUGUUUAGUAAUGUUCAGUCGUUCAAUAGACUGCGGUCGGGUUUGUUGGGUCAAGGGAACCAGGAUGCUUUUCUUUUGGCACUAAUGUAUCCUCUAUGCUAUCUAUGUAAUGCAAUGAUGAUGAAGACUCUAAACUAUUAGUGAGCUAUAUGCUUUUGCCUAACAUUGUAAUUCUGUUUGUCUGAAGUAAUUAAGCGUACGCACAUAGAUAUAGCAUAGUCAGUACAUAGGAUUUCAUAAGAUAGGAUUAAAGUUUUGGCCGCAUGAAAAUACUCCGCACGAAGGAUAAUAAGUUUUGGUAAUGCCUUUGAGCUAGCUUUCAAAAG